UGAGGAAUAUUGGUCAAUGGACGAGAGUCUGAACCAGCCAAGUAGCGUGAAGGAUGACUGCCCUAUGGGUUGUAAACUUCUUUUAUAUGGGAAUAAAGUAUUCCACGUGUGGGAUUUUGUAUGUACCAUAUGAAUAAGGAUCGGCUAACUCCGUGCCAGCAGCCGCGGUAAUACGGAGGAUCCGAGCGUUAUCCGGAUUUAUUGGGUUUAAAGGGAGCGUAGGUGGAUUGUUAAGUCAGUUGUGAAAGUUUGCGGCUCAACCGUAAAAUUGCAGUUGAAACUGGCAGUCUUGAGUACAGUAGAGGUGGGCGGAAUUCGUGGUGUAGCGGUGAAAUGCUUAGAUAUCACGAAGAACUCCGAUUGCGAAGGCAGCUCACUAGACUGCAACUGACACUGAUGCUCGAAAGUGUGGGUAUCAAACAGG
This 424-nucleotide ribosomal RNA is filed under the name uncultured bacterium. RNAcentral's name for it is "bacterial SSU rRNA". It matches the Rfam family "Bacterial small subunit ribosomal RNA", at positions 355 to 776 of the family's 1533-position model. The record is from RNAcentral. RNAcentral also lists the same sequence under 2 other names.